This 876-nucleotide ribosomal RNA is filed under the name uncultured bacterium. RNAcentral's name for it is "bacterial SSU rRNA". It matches the Rfam family "Bacterial small subunit ribosomal RNA", at positions 54 to 920 of the family's 1533-position model. The record is from RNAcentral.
CAUGCAAGUCGAGGGGAAACGACAUCGAAAGCUUGCUUUUGAUGGGCGUCGACCGGCGCACGGGUGAGUAACGCAUAUCCAACCUGCCCAUCACUUGGGGAUAACCUUGCGAAAGUAAGACUAAUACCCAAUGACGUCUCUAGAAGACAUCUGAAAGAGAUUAAAGAUUUAUCGGUGAUGGAUGGGGAUGCGUCUGAUUAGCUUGUUGGCGGGGUAACGGCCCACCAAGGCGACGAUCAGUAGGGGUUCUGAGAGGAAGGUCCCCCACAUUGGAACUGAGACACGGUCCAAACUCCUACGGGAGGCAGCAGUGAGGAAUAUUGGUCAAUGGACGAGAGUCUGAACCAGCCAAGUAGCGUGCAGGAUGACGGCCCUAUGGGUUGUAAACUGCUUUUAUAAGGGAAUAAAGUUAGUCUCGUGAGACUUUUUGCAUGUACCUUAUGAAUAAGGACCGGCUAAUUCCGUGCCAGCAGCCGCGGUAAUACGGAAGGUCCGGGCGUUAUCCGGAUUUAUUGGGUUUAAAGGGAGCGUAGGCCGGAGAUUAAGCGUGUUGUGAAAUGUAGACGCUCAACGUCUGCACUGCAGCGCGAACUGGUUUCCUUGAGUACGCACAAAGUGGGCGGAAUUCGUGGUGUAGCGGUGAAAUGCUUAGAUAUCACGAAGAACUCCGAUUGCGAAGGCAGCUCACUGGAGCGCAACUGACGCUGAAGCUCGAAAGUGCGGGUAUCGAACAGGAUUAGAUACCCUGGUAGUCCGCACGGUAAACGAUGGAUGCCCGCUGUUGGUCUGAAUAGGUCAGCGGCCAAGCGAAAGCAUUAAGCAUCCCACCUGGGGAGUACGCCGGCAACGGUGAAACUCAAAGGAAUUGACGGGGGC